GGAUCGGCGCGUUUUCGGGAAGUCGCAGCCUCCCAGGUGUUUCGGGCGCCCGGCACCCCAGAUCUUCCCGGGUCCGGCGUCCUCCCCAAACACAGUGUCAGCUACUGAGAAGACAGAUGAGUAAAGGCUUAGUCCCUGUCCUUGAAGAAGUAAAAAUGAAGUCCACGGUUCUGCAGAAAUCAUGCACAAACCAUGAAUUCUACUCCGUCAGGGCAGGGCUUGUAUCCGUUUGGAGCACUGCUUUUCUACAGUGCUCAGAACAAUUCCUGACGCACCACUGAAUAAAUAUUUGUUGAGUAAAUAACACUCAUGAAAUCCGAGGAUGAAUUUUUGUCACCUUUCCGAGGAACACGUAAAAUGUUGGUUGAUAAGUAUGG
Kogia breviceps (pygmy sperm whale) is the source of this 377-nucleotide non-coding RNA. The record is from RefSeq and is a predicted model, not a curated record. NCBI's taxonomy places the organism in Eukaryota, Metazoa, Chordata, Mammalia, Artiodactyla, Physeteridae.